GCGGAGGAAAAGAAACCAACAGGGAUUGCCCUAGUAACGGCGAGUGAAGCGGCAAUAGCUCAAAUUUGAAAGCUGGCCUCUGGUCCGCAUUGUAAUUUGUAGAGGAUGCUUUUAGGCAGCCGCCGGUCUAAGUUCCUUGGAACAGGACGUCAUAGAGGGUGAGAAUCCCGUAUGUGACCGGCUCAGGCACCUUCUGUAAAGCUCCUUCGACGAGUCGAGUUGUUUGGGAAUGCAGCUCUAAAUGGGAGGUAAAUUUCUUCUAAAGCUAAAUACCGGCGAGAGACCGAUAGCGCACAAGUAGAGUGAUCGAAAGAUGAAAAGCACUUUGGAAAGAGAGUUAAAAAGCACGUGAAAUUGUUGAAAGGGAAGCGCUUGCAAUCAGACUUGGACUUGGCUGUUCAACCGGUCUUCUGACCGGCCCACUCAGUCUUGUCCAGGCCAGCAUCAGUUUCGGCGGCCGGAUAAAGGCCCCGGGAAUGUAGCUGCCUCUUCGGGGGCAGUGUUAUAGCCCGGGGUGUAAUACGGCCAGCCGGGACUGAGGUCCGCGCUUCGGCUAGGAUGCUGGCGUAAUGGUUGUAAGCGGCCCGUCUUGAAACACGGACCAAGGAGUCUAACAUCUAUGCGAGUGUUAGGGUGUCAAACCCUUACGCGUAAUGAAAGUGAACGGAGGUGGGAACCCGCAAGGGCGCACCAUCGACCGAUCCUGAUGUCUUCGGAUGGAUUUGAGUAAGAGCAUAGCUGUUGGGACCCGAAAGAUGGUGAACUAUGCCUGAAUAGGGUGAAGCCAGAGGAAACUCUGGUGGAGGC
RNAcentral lists this small RNA (807 nucleotides) under Dothiora infuscans. Its description in RNAcentral is "eukaryotic LSU rRNA". It matches the Rfam family "Eukaryotic large subunit ribosomal RNA", at positions 50 to 874 of the family's 3401-position model. The record is from RNAcentral. Lineage: Eukaryota; Fungi; Ascomycota; Dothideomycetes; Dothideales; Dothioraceae.